GGGGAUGAGCUGUGGAUAGGGGUGAAAGGCCAAUCAAACUCUGUGAUAGCUGGUUCUCCCCGAAAUGCAUUUAGGUGCAGCGUUACGUGUUUCUUGCCGGAGGUAGAGCUACUGGAUGGCCGAUGGGCCUUCACGGGUUACUGACGUCAGCUAAACUCCGAAUGCCGGUAAGUGAGAGCGUAGCAGUGAGACAGUGGGGGAUAAGCUUCAUUGUCGAGAGGGAAACAGCCCAGACCACCAACUAAGGCCCCUAAGCGUGUGCUAAGUGGGAAAGGAUGUGGAGUUGCUUAGACAACCAGGAGGUUGGCUUAGAAGCAGCCAUCCUUGAAAGAGUGCGUAACAGCUCACUGGUCAAGUGAUUCUGCGCCGAUAAUGUAGCGGGGCUCAAGUACACCGCCGAAGUUGUGGCAAUGACCCUUUGAGGGUUGUUGGGUAGGGGAGCGUCGUGUAGCCGGUGAAGCUGCGGUGUAAACCAGUGGUGGAGGCUAUGCGAGUGAGAAUGCAGGCAUGAGUAGCGAAAGAUGAGUGAGAAACUCAUCCGCCGGAUGAUCAAGGGUUCCAGGGUCAAGUUAAUCUGCCCUGGGUUAGUCGGGGCCUAAGGCGAGGCCGACAGGCGUAGUCGAUGGAUAACGGGUUGAUAUUCCCGUACCGGUGAAAAACCGCCCAUACUGAUAUUGUGAUGCUAACCAUGCGAAGCAUGAUGUGCAGGCUUUUGUUUGUGUGUUGUGUGGGUUGUGGGACCCGAUCUUUGGAGGUAAACGUGUUAACAGGUGUGACGCAGGAAGGUAGCCAAGCCACGCGAUGGUUGUCGUGGUCUAAGCGUGUAGGGUUGUCGGUUGUUAAAUGCGCCGGCUGUGUGCCUGAGACGUGAUGGGACCCCGUUUUUGGGGGAUUUGGUGAUCCUAUGCUGCCGAGAAAAGCAUCGGCGUGAGGUUUUAGCCGCCCGUACCCUAAACCGACACAGGUGAUCAGGUAGAGAAUACUAAGGCGAUCGAGAGAAUCAUGGUUAAGGAACUCGGCAAAAUGCCCCCGUAACUUCGGGAGAAGGGGGACCUUGAGCGUGAUGGGCACUUGCUGCCUGGAGCGUGUAUGGGUCGCAGAGACCAGGGGGAAGCGACUGUUUAUCAAAAACACAGGUCCGUGCGAAGUCGUAAGACGAUGUAUACGGACUGACUCCUGCCCGGUGCUGGAAGGUUAAGAGGAUUGGUUAGCCUUUUUUUUUGGCGAAGCUGAGAAUUUAAGCCCCAGUAAACGGCGGUGGUAACUAUAACCAUCCUAAGGUAGCGAAAUUCCUUGUCGGGUAAGUUCCGACCUGCACGAAUGGAGUAACGACUUCCCUACUGUCUCAACCAUGAACUCGGCGAAAUUGCAGUACGAGUAAAGAUGCUCGUUUCGCGCAGCAGGACGGAAAGACCCCGUGACCUUUACUAUAGUUUGGUAUUGGUGUUUGGUUUGGCUUGUGUAGGAUAGGUGGGAGACUGUGAAGCAUGGACGCUAGUUUGUGUGGAGUCGUUGUUGAAAUACCACUCUGGUCAAUCUGGAUGUCUAACUUCGGGCCAUGAUCUGGUUCAGGGACAGUGCCUGAUGGGUAGUUUAACUGGGGCGGUUGCCUCCUAAAGUGUAACGGAGGCGCCCAAAGGUUCCCUCAGCCUGGUUGGCAAUCAGGUGUUGAGUGUAAGUGCACAAGGGAGCUUGACUGUGAGACUGGCAGGUCGAGCAGGGACGAAAGUCGGGACUAGUGAUCCGGCGGUACGUUGUGGAACGGCCGUCGCUCAACGGAUAAAAGGUACCUCGGGGAUAACAGGCUGAUCUUGCCCAAGAGUCCAUAUCGACGGCAUGGUUUGGCACCUCGAUGUCGGCUCGUCGCAUCCUGGGGCUGGAGUCGGUCCCAAGGGUUGGGCUGUUCGCCCAUUAAAGCGGUACGCGAGCUGGGUU
Molecule: ribosomal RNA, 1935 nt
Filed under: human oral metagenome
Description: bacterial LSU rRNA
Rfam family: Bacterial large subunit ribosomal RNA
Source: RNAcentral